RNAcentral lists this ribosomal RNA (329 nucleotides) under uncultured bacterium. RNAcentral's name for it is "bacterial SSU rRNA". It matches the Rfam family "Bacterial small subunit ribosomal RNA", at positions 568 to 898 of the family's 1533-position model. The record is from RNAcentral.
UUCGUAGGCGGUGUGGCAAGUCGGGAGUGAAAUCUCUGGGCUUAACCCAGAGGCUGCUUCCGAAACUGCCGUGCUAGAGUGCGGGAGAGGCGAGUGGAAUUGCAGGUGUAGCGGUGAAAUGCGUAGAUAUCUGCAGGAACACCCGUGGCGAAGGCGGCUCGCUGGACCGCAACUGACGCUGAGGAACGAAAGCUAGGGGAGCAAACAGGAUUAGAUACCCUGGUAGUCCUAGCCCUAAACCAUCAGGACUUGGGUGCAUCCCGUUCGGGGUGCGUCCCGUAGCUAACGCGUUAAGUCCUGCGCCUGGGGAGUACGGUCGCAAGGCUGAA